UACGAAGGGGGCUAGCGUUGCUCGGAAUUACUGGGCGUAAAGCGCUCGUAGGCGGAUUUUUAAGUCAGGGGUGAAAUCCUGGAGCUCAACUCCAGAACUGCCUUUGAUACUGAGGACCUUGAGUUCGGGAGAGGUGAGUGGAACUGCGAGUGUAGAGGUGAAAUUCGUAGAUAUUCGCAAGAACACCAGUGGCGAAGGCGGCUCACUGGCCCGAUACUGACGCUGAGGUGCGAAAGCGUGGGGAGCAAACAGG
RNAcentral lists this ribosomal RNA (253 nucleotides) under uncultured bacterium. Its description in RNAcentral is "partial 16S ribosomal RNA". It matches the Rfam family "Bacterial small subunit ribosomal RNA", at positions 524 to 776 of the family's 1533-position model. The record is from RNAcentral.